Molecule: ribosomal RNA, 465 nt
Filed under: uncultured bacterium
Lineage: Bacteria
Description: partial 16S ribosomal RNA
Rfam family: Bacterial small subunit ribosomal RNA
Source: RNAcentral
CCUACGGGAGGCAGCAGUAGGGAAUUUUCGUCAAUGGGCGCAAGCCUGAACGAGCAAUGCCGCGUGAACGAGGAAGGUCUUCGGAUCGUAAAGUUCUGUUGAAGGGGAAAAAGAGCGGAGAGAGGAAAUGCUUUCUGAAUGAUAUUACCCUUCGAGGAAGUCACGGCUAACUACGUGCCAGCAGCCGCGGUAAUACGUAGGUGGCGAGCGUUAUCCGGAAUGAUUGGGCGGAAAGGGUGCGUAGGCGGCCUGCUAAGUCUGGAGUGAAAGGUACCGGCUCAACCGGUACAGGCUCUGGAAACUGGCGGGCUAGAGGGCAGGAGAGGGCGGUGGAACUCCAUGUGUAGCGGUAAAAUGCGUAGAUAUAUGGAAGGACACCAGUGGCGAAGGCGGCCGCCUGGCCUGUUAACUGACGCUGAGGCACGAAAGCGUGGGGAGCAAAUAGGAUUAGAUACCCCAGUAGUC